AAUUCCGGUUGAUCCUGCCGGACCUGACUGCUAUCGGAUUGGUACUAAGCCAUGCGAGUCGUUGUAGCAAUACAAGGCGGACUGCUCAGUAACACGUAGUUAACUUAACCUAUGGAUGGGAAUAACCUCGGGAAACUGAGAAUAAUACCCAAUAGAUCACAGUGCCUGGAAUGGCCUGUGAUUGAAAUGAUUUAUCGCUGUAGGAUGGGACUGCGGCCUAUCAGCUUGUUGGUGAGGUAAUGGCCCACCAAGGCUAUAACAGGUACGGGCUCUGAGAGGAGGGGCCCGGAGAUGGGUACUGAGACACGGACCCAGGCCCUAUGGGGCGCAGCAGGCGAGAAACCUUUGCAAUGUGCGAAAGCACGACAAGGUUAAUCCGAGUGUCUCCUGCUAAAGGAGUCUUUUGUCAGUUGUAGAAUCACUGGUGAAUAAGGGGUGGGCAAGUUCUGGUGUCAGCCGCCGCGGUAAAACCAGCACCUCGAGUGGUCAGGAGGUUUAUUGGGCCUAAAGCAUCCGUAGCCGGUUGCAUAAGUUUUCGGUUAAAUCUAUGCGCUUAACGUAUAGGCCGCCGAA
This 573-nucleotide ribosomal RNA is filed under the name uncultured archaeon. Its description in RNAcentral is "bacterial SSU rRNA". It matches the Rfam family "Archaeal small subunit ribosomal RNA", at positions 1 to 579 of the family's 1478-position model. The record is from RNAcentral.